GACGAACGCUGGCGGCGUGCUUAACACAUGCAAGUCGAACGGAAAGGCCCUGCUUUUGUGGGGUGCUCGAGUGGCGAACGGGUGAGUAACACGUGAGUAACCUGCCCUUGACUUUGGGAUAACUUCAGGAAACUGGGGCUAAUACCGGAUAGGAGCUCCUGCUGCAUGGUGGGGGUUGGAAAGUUUCGGCGGUUGGGGAUGGACUCGCGGCUUAUCAGCUUGUUGGUGGGGUAGUGGCUUACCAAGGCUUUGACGGGUAGCCGGCCUGAGAGGGUGACCGGCCACAUUGGGACUGAGAUAAGGCCCAGACUCCUACGGGAGGCAGCAGUGGGGAAUAUUGCAAAAUGGGCGGAAGCCUGAUGCAGCAACGCCGCGUGCGGGAUGAAGGCCUUCGGGUUGUAAACCGCUUUCGCCUGUGACGAAGCGUGAGUGACGGUAAUGGGUAAAGAAGCACCGGCUAACUACGUG
This 468-nucleotide ribosomal RNA is filed under the name uncultured bacterium. RNAcentral's name for it is "partial 16S ribosomal RNA". It matches the Rfam family "Bacterial small subunit ribosomal RNA", at positions 28 to 507 of the family's 1533-position model. The record is from RNAcentral.